UGCAGUCGAGCGGAACGAUGGGAGCUUGCUCCCAGGCGUCGAGCGGCGGACGGGUGAGUAACGCGUGGGAAUCUGCCCAACGGUGGGGGACAACUUCGGGAAACCGGAGCUAAUACCGCAUACGCCCUACGGGGGAAAGCAGGGGAUCUUCGGACCUUGCGCUGAUGGAUGAGCCCGCGUCCGAUUAGCUUGUUGGUGGGGUAAAAGCCUACCAAGGCGACGAUCGGUAGCUGGUCUGAGAGGACGAUCAGCCACACUGGGACUGAGACACGGCCCAGACUCCUACGGGAGGCAGCAGUGGGGAAUAUUGGACAAUGGGGGCAACCCUGAUCCAGCCAUGCCGCGUGUGUGAAGAAGGCUUUCGGGUUGUAAAGCACUUUCAGUAGGGAAGAUUUGAUCCGGCGUUAAUAUCGCCGGUGAGUGACGGUACCUACAGAAGAAGCACCGGCUAACUCCGUGCCAGCAGCCGCGGUAAUACGGAGGGUGCGAGCGUUAAUCGGAAUUACUGGGCGUAAAGCGAACGUAGGCGGCUUGGUUAGUCGAAUGUGAAAUCCCUGGGCUCAACCUGGGAAUUGCAUCCGAAACUGCCAAGCUAGAGUGUGGGAGAGGGAAGUGGAAUUCCGGGUGUAGCGGUGAAAUGCGUAGAUAUCCGGAGGAACACCAGUGGCGAAGGCGACUUCCUGGCCCAACACUGACGCUCAGGUUCGAAAGCGUGGGGAGCAAACAGGAUUAGAUACCCUGGUAGUCCACGCCGUAAACGAUGAGAACUAGAUGUUGGGAGGGUCAGCCUCUCGGUGUCGUA
Molecule: ribosomal RNA, 802 nt
Filed under: uncultured marine bacterium
Lineage: Bacteria
Description: bacterial SSU rRNA
Rfam family: Bacterial small subunit ribosomal RNA
Source: RNAcentral